GCAAACUUGGUCAUUUAGAGGAAGUAAAAGUCGUAACAAGGUUUCCGUAGGUGAACCUGCGGAAGGAUCAUUACAAAAACAUAGCCGUCUGGUCGCGAGACCGUGACGCUUCAACCCUCUGUGAACCAAAAACCUUUUCGCUUCGGCAGCAGCCGCGGUCCUGACCGGCCGCGCGUGUCAGCCUGCCGCUAGCACCAACCAGAAAACUUGCAGUCAACAUUGUCUGAUGACCAAAUUUUCGAAUGAAAAUCAAAACUUUCAACAACGGAUCUCUUGGUUCCCGCAUCGAUGAAGAACGCAGC
This 302-nucleotide unclassified non-coding RNA is filed under the name uncultured fungus. Its description in RNAcentral is "partial contains small subunit ribosomal RNA, internal transcribed spacer 1, and 5.8S ribosomal RNA". The stretch from base 1 to 73 matches the Rfam family "Eukaryotic small subunit ribosomal RNA", at positions 1759 to 1831 of the family's 1831-position model. Lineage: Eukaryota; Fungi. The record is from RNAcentral.